CCCUUAGAUGUUCUGGGCCGCACGCGCGCUACACUGAUGCAUUCAACGAGUUUCUUCCUGGUCCGAGAGGAAUGGGUAACCUUUUGAAAGUGCAUCGUGAUAGGGAUAGACUAUUGCAAUUAUUGGUCUUCAACGAGGAAUUCCUAGUAGACGUAGUUCAUCAGACUGCAUCGAUUACGUCCCUGCCCUUUGUACACACCGCCCGUCGCACCUACCGAUUGAAUGGUCCGGUGAAGCCUCGGGAUUGUGGCCAGUUCACUUUAUUGGGAGUUGGCUGUGAGAACUUGUCUAAACCUUAUCAUUUAGAGGAAGGUGAAGUCGUAACA
RNAcentral lists this ribosomal RNA (326 nucleotides) under uncultured eukaryote. Its description in RNAcentral is "partial 18S ribosomal RNA". It matches the Rfam family "Eukaryotic small subunit ribosomal RNA", at positions 1470 to 1796 of the family's 1831-position model. The record is from RNAcentral.